CGCCGCGGUUAAACGAGAGGCCCCAGUUGAUAUUAACACGGCGUAAAGGGUGGUUAAGGAAAGAAGGCAAUAAAGCUAAAUGGCCCUUUGGCCGUUAUACGCUCCUAGGUGUCCGAAACCCAAUCACGAAAGUAGCUUUAAAAACCAACCUGACCCCACGAAAGCUGAGAAA
This 172-nucleotide ribosomal RNA is filed under the name Abbottina rivularis (Chinese false gudgeon). RNAcentral describes it as "partial 12S rRNA". Lineage: Eukaryota; Metazoa; Chordata; Actinopteri; Cypriniformes; Gobionidae. The record is from RNAcentral.